Molecule: unclassified non-coding RNA, 250 nt
Filed under: Hevea brasiliensis (rubber tree)
Lineage: Eukaryota; Viridiplantae; Streptophyta; Magnoliopsida; Malpighiales; Euphorbiaceae
Source: RNAcentral
UGUUUAUGUUGAUCUAGUGCAUAUGAGUAGUUAAUGCAUGCAAAUCUAGUAUCUGUAAGCUGUAAUCUAGUUUAGUCUGCUGGUGAUAGGUAUUAAACUAUUGUUGCUACAUUUUCUGUGGCUAAUGUUUAUUUUAUUACUAAUUUACUAUUGUUAAAUUUAUUGCUGCUUUUUCCCUGGCUUGCUUGUGGUUGCAAUUGCAAGGUGAUAACUUUGAUAUUUUAUAGAUAAUUGCCCUUCGAAGAGCCAA